AAGUCGUAACAAGGUUUCCGUAGGUGAACCUGCGGAAGGAUCAUUAAUGAAAUGCAAGAGUGCUCUUUUUAGAGGCUCGACCCAAUUCAUUUUCUCACCCUGUGCACAAACUAUUUUUACACCCAAUUUUUUAACACUUGUAGUAAUAAGAAUGUCAAUAGUCUCUUAAUUGAGCAUAAAAUUUAAUAAAACUUUCGGCAACGGAUCUCUUGGCUCCC
RNAcentral lists this unclassified non-coding RNA (218 nucleotides) under air metagenome. RNAcentral's name for it is "partial contains small subunit ribosomal RNA, internal transcribed spacer 1, and 5.8S ribosomal RNA". The stretch from base 1 to 46 matches the Rfam family "Eukaryotic small subunit ribosomal RNA", at positions 1786 to 1831 of the family's 1831-position model. The record is from RNAcentral.